AUUGAACGCUGGCGGCAUGCUUUACACAUGCAAGUCGAGCGGCAGCGCGGGGGCAACCUUGGCGGCGAGCGGCGAACGGGUGAGUAAUGCAUCGGAACGUAUCCUGUAGUGGGGAAUAACUCACCGAAAGGUGAGCUAAUACCGCAUAAGCUCUGAGGAGGAAAGCGGGGGACCGAAAGGCCUCGCGCUGCAGGAGCGGCCGAUGUCCGAUUAGCUAGUUGGUGAGGUAAAGGCUCACCAAGGCGACGAUCGGUAGCUGGUCUGAGAGGAUGAUCAGCCACACUGGGACUGAGACACGGCCCAGACUCCUACGGGAGGCAGCAGUGGGGAAUUUUGGACAAUGGGGGAAACCCUGAUCCAGCCAUGCCGCGUGAGUGAAGAA
Molecule: ribosomal RNA, 382 nt
Filed under: uncultured bacterium
Lineage: Bacteria
Description: bacterial SSU rRNA
Rfam family: Bacterial small subunit ribosomal RNA
Source: RNAcentral